RNAcentral lists this transfer RNA (62 nucleotides) under Fukomys damarensis (Damara mole-rat). It matches the Rfam family "tRNA", at positions 1 to 61 of the family's 71-position model. From Rfam's summary of the family: Transfer RNA (tRNA) molecules are approximately 80 nucleotides in length. Their secondary structure includes four short double-helical elements and three loops (D, anti-codon, and T loops). The record is from Rfam by way of RNAcentral. Lineage: Eukaryota; Metazoa; Chordata; Mammalia; Rodentia; Bathyergidae.
GGGAAUGUAGCUCAGUGGUAGAGUACUUGCCUAGCAUGCAUGAGACCAGAAGUUCAAUUCCU